UAUUGUUCCGCUCCCGGCCUCCGCCCUUCCCCUUCCCGCCCGCUCCCCUUUUCCCCUCAGUCGCCUCUCACCUCCAGUUUUUGGCUUUCACCCCCACCAGUGACCAAAGACUUGACCACUCAAAGUCCAGCUCCUCAUAACUGCUAGACAUGGACACCGGUGUGAUUGAAGGUGGAUUAAAUGUCACUCUCACCAUCCGGCUACUUAUGCAUGGAAAGGAAGUUGGCAGUAUCAUUGGAAAGAAAGGAGAAUCUGUUAAGAAGAUGCGCGAGGAGAGUGGUGCAGUAUCAACAUCUCAGAAGGGAAUUGUCCUGAGAGAAUUAUCACUUUGGCUGGACCCACUAAUGCCAUCUUCAAAGCUUUUGCUAUGAUCAUUGACAAACUGGAAGAGGAUAUUAGCAGCUCUAUGACCAAUAGCACAGCUGCCAGUAGACCCCCGGUUACCUUACGACUGGUGGUUCCUGCUAGUCAGUGUGGCUCUCUCAUUGGAAAAGGAGGUUGCAAGAUCAAGGAAAUAAGAGAGAGUACAGGGGCUCAGGUCCAAGUGGCAGGGGAUAUGCUCCCCAACUCAACUGAACGGGCUAUCACUAUUGCUGGCAUUCCGCAAUCGAUCAUUGAGUGUGUCAAACAGAUCUGCGUGGUCAUGUUGGAGACUCUCUCCCAGUCCCCCCCGAAGGGCGUGACCAUCCCGUACAGGCCCAAGCCCUCGAGUUCCCCAGUCAUCUUUGCAGGUGGUCAGGCCUAUACCAUUCAAGGACAGUAUGCCAUUCCACAGCCAGAUUUGACCAAGCUGCACCAGUUGGCAAUGCAACAGUCUCAUUUUCCCAUGACGCAUGGCAACACCGGAUUCAGUGGCAUUGAAUCCAGUUCUCCAGAGGUGAAAGGCUAUUGGGGUUUGGAUGCAUCUGCUCAGACUACUUCUCAUGAACUCACUAUUCCAAACGAUUUGAUUGGCUGCAUAAUCGGGCGUCAAGGCGCCAAAAUCAAUGAAAUCCGUCAGAUGUCUGGGGCGCAGAUCAAAAUUGCGAACCCAGUGGAAGGAUCUACUGAUAGGCAGGUUACCAUCACUGGAUCUGCUGCCAGCAUCAGCCUGGCUCAGUAUCCUAAUCAAUGUCAGGCUUUCCUCCGAGACGGGUGGAAUGGGGAGCAGCUAGAACAGUACAGAUUCACCCAUAAUCCCUUUCUGCUGUUCACCACCACCCAUGAUCCAUCUGUGUAGUUUCUGAACAGUCAGCGAUUCCAGGUUUUAAAUAGUUUGUAAAUUUUCAGUUUCUACACACUUUAUCAUCCACUCGUGAUUUUUUAAUUAAAGCGUUUUAAUUCCUUUCUCUGUUCAGCUGUUAUGCUGAGAUCCAUAUUUAGUUUUAUAAGCUUCUCCCUUUUUUCCAGGUUUUUUUUUUAUGUUUUGUUUUUGUUUUUUUUGUUUUUAUUUAUUUUUUUUGGGCUCAUGAAUUUUUGUUUGUCAUGGAAAUGUAAGAGUGGAAUAUUAAUACAUUUCAGUUUAGUUCUGUAAUGUCAGGAAUUUUUCAAAAAAAUUAAAAGAUGGACUGGAGCUUUUUCUUUGUGAAUAGAAACUGGAUGCCACAGUGA
Molecule: RNA transcript, 1590 nt
Organism: Nannospalax galili (Upper Galilee mountains blind mole rat)
Lineage: Eukaryota; Metazoa; Chordata; Mammalia; Rodentia; Spalacidae
Gene name: poly(rC)-binding protein 2 pseudogene
Exons: 1
Source: RefSeq, a predicted model, not a curated record